AUUCAGGUGAAAAAGGGCAUAAGGUGGAUGCCUUGGCUUCGAGGAGCGAUGAAGGACGUGAUAAGCUGCGAUAAGCUAUGGGGAGGAGCACAUAUUCUUUGAUCCAUAGAUUUCCGAAUGGGGAAACCCGCCACGGAUACUCCGUGGCAUAUUAUGCUGAAUACAUAGGCAUAAAUAGGCGAACAAGGGGAACUGAAACAUCUAAGUACCCUUAGGAAAAUAAAUCAAUAGAGAUUCCGUUAGUAGCGGCGAGCGAACGCGGACCAGCCCAAAACGAAGGAUUAUUCCUUCGUGGUUGUAGGACCUCAAUAUGAAGAAAAGUAUUAGAGUCGAACAGUUUGGAAAGACUGGCCCUAGAAGGUUAAGGCCCUGUAGGCGAAUAAUACUCAAUUCUAGAGGUAUCCUGAGUAGGACGGGACACGUGGAAUCUUGUCUGAAUCUGGGUAGACCAUUAUCCAAGGCUAAAUAUUACUCGAAGACCGAUAGUGUACCAGUACCGUGAGGGAAAGGCGAAAAGAACCUCUAAAAGAGGAGUGAAAUAGACCCUGAAACCUUAUGCUUAAAAGCUGUGGGAGCCGCAAGGUGACCGCGUACCUUUUGCAUCAUGAGCCAACGAGUUGUUUUCAGUGGCAAGGUUAAGCUUAUAAAGCGGAGCCGUAGCGAAAGCGAGUCUUAAUAGGGCGAUUUAGUCUCUGGGAGCAGACCCGAAACCGAGUGAUCUAUCCCUGUCCAGGUUGAAGCUAAGGUAAGACUUAGUGAAGGACCGAACCGGUAGACCUUAAAACGUCUUCGGAUGAGGUGGGGAUUGGAGUGAAAGGCUAAUCAAACUCGGAGAUAGCUGGUUCUCCCCGAUAUAUAUUUAGGUAUAGCGUCCGGUUAUUGUGCUGUGGAGGUAGAGCACUGAAUAGACUAGGGGGUCUUACCGACUUACCAAAUCUAACCAGACUCCGAAUUACGCAGCAUCGACCCGGGCAGUCAGAAUGCGGGAGAUAAAUCCCGUACUCGUGAGGGAAACAACCCAGACCGUCGGCUAAGGCCCCCAAGCGUAUGUUAAGUGUUAAAGGAUGUGGAAACGCAAAAACAGCCAGGAGGUUAGCUUAGAAGCAGCUAUCCUUUAAAGAAAGCGUAAUAGCUCACUGGUCAAGUGGUUCUGCGCCGAAAAUAUAACGGGGCUCAAACAUACCGCCGAAGCCACGGACUAUUUAUUUAUUUAGAUAGUGGUAGGGGAGCGUUCUAUGUUGUUUGAAGCUAAACCGUAAGGUUUGGUGGACGGCAUAGAAGUGAGAAUGUUGGCAUAAGUAACGAAAAGAUAGGUGAGAAACCUAUCCGCCGAAAACCUAAGGUUUCCUAAGCCAUGUUAAUCAGCUUAGGGUUAGGCGGGAUCUAAGGCGAGGCUGAGAAGCGUAGUCGAAGAAUAAUCGGUUAAUAUUCCGAUCUUUGGAUAGUGUGCGAUGGAGUGACGCAGGAGGAUAGACAGGCCACCGAUUGGUUGUGGUGGUUUAAGGGCGAAGUCUGGGGUUAUAGGUAAAUCCGUUACCCUAUAGAUGAGACCUGAAUACGAAGGGCGCAAGCCUGUAAAGCUGUUAAUUCCAUGCUGCCAAGAAAAACUUCUAAGCUUAACACUAUCUGAUCCGUACCGUAAACCGACACAGGUAGGUGAGGAGAGAAUCCUAAGGCGCUUGAGAGAAACCAUGCUAAGGAACUCUGCAACUUGAGUCCGUAACUUAGGGAUAAGGACUGCCGGUAGUAUUUAAUGCUUAACAGGCAAAGGAAAAUCCGGCCACAGAAAAGAGACCCAGGCGACUGUUUAUCAAAAACACAGCUCUCUGCAAACACGUAAGUGGACGUAUAGGGGGUGACUCCUGCCCGGUGCCGGAAGGUUAAAAGGAGAAGUUAGUCGUAAGACGAAGCUUUGAAUUGAAGCCCCGGUAAACGGCGGCCGUAACUAUAACGGUCCUAAGGUAGCGAAAUUCCUUGUCGGGUAAGUUCCGACCUGCACGAAUGGAGUAACGAUCUGGGUGGUGUCUCGGUGUGGUUCUCAGUGAAAUUGAAAUAGCGGUGAAGAUGCCGUUAACCCGCGGCAAGACGAAAAGACCCCGGAACCUUUACUGUAGCUUGACGUUGUAUUUUGAAAAUUAAUGCGCAGGAUAGGUGGGAGACUGUGAGACUUGGGCUUUGGCUCAGGUGGAGUCACUGUUGAGAUACCACCCUUUGAUUUUUGGAAUACUAACCUAUUCCCGUUAUCCGGGAAAGGGACAGCGUCUGGUAGGCAGUUUGACUGGGGCGGUCGCCUCCUAAAAAGUAACGGAGGCGCACAAAGGUUCCCUCAGGUGGUAUGGAAAGCCACUAUCGAGUGCAAAGGCAUAAGGGAGCUUGACUGUAAGAGAGACAUUUCAAGCAGGUGGGAAACCAGGUCUUAGUGAUCCGGCGGUUCUGUAUGGAAGGGCCGUCGCUCAACGGAUAAAAGGUACUCCGGGGAUAACAGGCUUAUCGCGCCCAAGAGUUCAUAUCGACGGCGCGGUUUGGCACCUCGAUGUCGGCUCAUCGCAUCCUGGGGCUGGAGCAGGUCCCAAGGGUAUGGCUGUUCGCCAUUUAAAGCGGUACGUGAGUUGGGUUCAAAACGUCGUGAGACAGUUUGGUCUCUAUCUGCCGUGGGCGUUGGAAAUUUGAGAGGACCUGUUCUUAGUACGAGAGGACCGGAAUGGAUGAACCUAGGGUGUACCAGUUGUUCCGCCAGGAGCAUCGCUGGGUAGCCAAGUUCAGAAAAGAUAACCGCUGAAAGCAUCUAAGCGGGAAGCUUACCUCAAGAUAGAUUUCCCAGAAUUUAAUUCUGUAAGGUCACAGAAAGACUAUCUGUUUGAUAGGCGGGAGGUGUAAGCUCGGUAACGAGUUCAGCUGACCCGUACUAAUAGACCGAGUGACUUGAUUUU
RNAcentral lists this ribosomal RNA (2930 nucleotides) under SAR324 cluster bacterium. RNAcentral's name for it is "23S ribosomal RNA". It matches the Rfam family "Bacterial large subunit ribosomal RNA". The record is from RNAcentral. Lineage: Bacteria; Deltaproteobacteria.